Molecule: ribosomal RNA, 393 nt
Filed under: uncultured bacterium
Lineage: Bacteria
Description: partial 16S ribosomal RNA
Rfam family: Bacterial small subunit ribosomal RNA
Source: RNAcentral
AUACGGAGGAUGCGAGCGUUAUCCGGAUUUAUUGGGUUUAAAGGGUGCGUAGGCGGGCUGGUAAGUCAGCGGUGAAACGCAGGUGCUCAACACCUGACCUGCCGUUGAAACUGCCGGUCUUGAAUGCGGAUGCUGUGGGAGGAAUGUGUGGUGUAGCGGUGAAAUGCAUAGAUAUCACACAGAACACCGAUUGCGAAGGCAUCUCACAAAUCCGUGAUUGACGCUGAGGCACGAAAGUGCGGGGAUCGAACAGGAUUAGAUACCCUGGUAGUCCGCACUGUAAACGAUGAUGACUCGCUGUCGGCGAUAGACAGUCGGUGGCCAAGCGAAAGCGAUAAGUCAUCCACCUGGGGAGUACGACCGCAAGGUUGAAACUCAAAUGAAUUGACGGGG